GGGAGGGGCUGGGCGGGAAGAGAACCGUGGCGCGAAGGCGUGGCGGUGGCGGGUACCGGCCCGGCAGAGAAGUGGAACCUAGGGAUUGGUGACCCGGGACUGGGGGCUGGAAGACUUAAUUGGAGGAAGCCCCGCAGGUUACCAGUCAGCUAGAUGCUUCCAGAGUGCAUUCAGUGGAGUCGGAAGCCAGGCACCCACCCCUCCUCCUAGGGUGAAGCUGGGUUUAAUUCACCAAGUGGAUAUUUAUCUUCGGGCCAACUGUUAAUAUUGAGUGUCUGCCCUCUGCUAGCCAUUCUAGAGCGUGUUUGCGUUGUUGAGCUCAUUCAGUCGUGCUGUUUUUAGUAUCCAGAAUAAAAAAUUCUGAAAGCUUG
Long non-coding RNA from Ictidomys tridecemlineatus (thirteen-lined ground squirrel), 371 nucleotides. RefSeq lists it as uncharacterized. Lineage: Eukaryota; Metazoa; Chordata; Mammalia; Rodentia; Sciuridae. The record is from RefSeq and is a predicted model, not a curated record.